Pygocentrus nattereri (red-bellied piranha) is the source of this 229-nucleotide long non-coding RNA. RefSeq lists it as uncharacterized. The transcript has 3 exons. Lineage: Eukaryota; Metazoa; Chordata; Actinopteri; Characiformes; Serrasalmidae. The record is from RefSeq and is a predicted model, not a curated record.
GGUACAGCCGCGCGCGGAGAAGCCGCUCCCGCCGUCCCGGAGGUCUGAGCGAGCGCAGUAGCCCCAAAAGAUGUUGCUGGACUGACUUCUGUUCCUGCUGGACAAGGCACUGAGAGGAUGCCAGAGAGAGGGAGACUCGUUCGCUGUGCUGUUCAGAUGUUGCUGGACUGACUUCUGUUCCUGCUGGACAAGGCACUGAGAGGAUGCCAGAGAGAGGGAGACUCGUUCG